GACAGAGGGGGCAAGCGUUGCUCGGAAUUACUGGGCGUAAAGGGCGCGUAGGCGGGAUGGUAAGUCGGUCGUGAAAUCCCUCGGCUCAACCGAGGAACGUCGAUCGAUACUACCGUUCUUGAGGAUUGCAGAGGAGACUGGAAUUCCCGGUGUAGCGGUGAAAUGUGUAGAGAUCGGGAGGAACACCGGUGGCGAAGGCAAUCCCCUGGGCCUGCACUGACGCUCAUGCACGAAAGCGUGGGGAGCAAACAGG
This 253-nucleotide ribosomal RNA is filed under the name uncultured bacterium. RNAcentral describes it as "partial 16S ribosomal RNA". It matches the Rfam family "Bacterial small subunit ribosomal RNA", at positions 524 to 776 of the family's 1533-position model. The record is from RNAcentral.